UGGGAAUUUUGGACAAUGGGCGCAAGCCUGAUCCAGCCAUGCCGCGUGCGGGAAGAAGGCCUUCGGGUUGUAAACCGCUUUUGUCAGGGAAGAAAUCUUCUGAGUUAAUACCUCGGGAGGAUGACGGUACCUGAAGAAUAAGCACCGGCUAACUACGUGCCAGCAGCCGCGGUAAUACGUAGGGUGCAAGCGUUAAUCGGAAUUACUGGGCGUAAAGCGUGCGCAGGCGGUUUUGUAAGACAGAGGUGAAAUCCCCGGGCUCAACCUGGGAACUGCCUUUGUGACUGCAAGGCUUGAGUGCGGCAGAGGGGGGAUGGAAUUCCGCGUGUAGCAGUGAAAUGCGUAGAUAUGCGGAGGAACACCGAUGGCGAAGGCAAUCCCCUGGGCCUGCACUGACGCUCCAUGCACGAAAGCGUGGGGAGCAAACAGGAUUAGAUAGCCCUGGUAGUCCACGCCCUAAACGAUGUCAACUGGUUGUUGGGAAGGUUCCUUCUCAGUAACGUAGCUAACGCGUGAAGUUGACCGCCUGGGGAGUACGGCCGCAAGGUUGAAACUCAAAUGAAUUGACGGGGUCAUAGC
RNAcentral lists this ribosomal RNA (579 nucleotides) under uncultured bacterium. RNAcentral's name for it is "partial 16S ribosomal RNA". It matches the Rfam family "Bacterial small subunit ribosomal RNA", at positions 356 to 925 of the family's 1533-position model. The record is from RNAcentral.